Ricinus communis (castor bean) is the source of this 1299-nucleotide long non-coding RNA. RefSeq lists it as uncharacterized. The transcript is spliced from 3 exons. Lineage: Eukaryota; Viridiplantae; Streptophyta; Magnoliopsida; Malpighiales; Euphorbiaceae. The record is from RefSeq and is a predicted model, not a curated record.
UCAAAGGCUAUGGGUUGGAAUCAAAUAAAAGAAAAGAUGCUUAGAAUGUCAAACAACCACUCACUUCCCUAUUCUUCCUUCAUUUAGACCGCAUUCGCGUUCAGUUUCAUUGUUAGCUAUCACUAUAUAUAUGUAGUUAGCUAUUACCAUUUCCAUUAAGCCAAGAAAAGUUGGAAUCUGAGAGCAUCAUCUGUCCCCUAGAGUUCCCUUGAGCACUUCACUGGGAUGAAAAAAAGGUCCAGUCUUCCUUCCUACUGAAGUGUUUGGGGGAACUCCUGGUGUCAUUUGAUAAGAAAGAAAAGAAAAAAUAGCAUUCCCAGCAGAAUGAUUCUUGAUUCAGCUUUGAGUUACAGCAUAGUGCUCCUAUUGUGUUGUUCAUGUCUUUCUCUUUUUCAAAUUAUUAAGAAUUGAAUUAAAGUAGGACAUUGAUAUGCUAGUCUAACUUGUUUAUCACCAGUUCAUGCUUAACUUUUGUUACACUCACUAGACACUUAACUAGCUUACUUCUUUUUUCUUUUGCGUAGGAAACUAGCUUACUUAUAUUUAUAAUCCGCUAAAAACAAAUAAAAUAUUUAAGUAUUAGCAUAGACACCUUAUACUUAAGAUGUAAUUUUCACUUAAUUGGUACUGAAGAAGCGAUUCUGCAAAUUCAUAGUUUGCAACAAGAAUCAUUCAUGAUAUAGGCAUAUGCCAAACUCUUCAUUCAUGAUAUAAGCAUAUGCCAAAUUUUCUCCAACAAAAUAUAAGCUUUUUCUCUGAUUGGCUUUUUGCAGCAAGAAAAUUUUAUUACGAAGGAUGCUUGGAGCUCAGAUGCCCAGCAAAAAGAAAUAACAUGGGCAAAGAGAGGUGUGGCUACCAUCACCGUUAGACUAGAUAGAGAUGGUGAAAUAUUGCAGCUGGGAUGAUAUGCUUAAGCCUAGACAAUCAAUUCCUCUAUGUCAACUGGGACUGGUUGAUGGGUUCUUCUUGUGCCAGAGUUUGCCUUUUUGAUUUGUAGAAGCAUUAUAUGUGACAUCAGAUUGUUGAAAAUACAAAAUCAGAAGUGAUUGAUGAUCGAGAUUGUCAGACACCCUAUCGUACAGAUUUAAUAGAAUGUCCGUUAUGGAUAUCAUACUCUAAAUAGCUGGCUAUCAAAUAGAAAGUAAAAAAAUCCUUCUCUUUUAUACACCAUGUUCGAAGGAAGAAUCACUUACAAUUAGAAGAGAUGGCAAAUGUUGAGACCAAAAGUAUCAUGGCAAGCAUCAGUUUCUUUCAUUUUUAAUGACAGACUACACUGCUGCAGAUGCAAGUCACAAUAAA